Molecule: small RNA, 344 nt
Filed under: Pan troglodytes (chimpanzee)
Lineage: Eukaryota; Metazoa; Chordata; Mammalia; Primates; Hominidae
Description: retained intron
Source: RNAcentral
GUGCUAAAACUGGGGAGCUAGUGGGCACCAUGAAGAUCUUCUGCAGUCGGGCCAAUCCGACCACGGGGUCUGUGGAGUGGCUGGAGGAGGAUGAACACUAUGAUUACCACCAGGAGAUUGCAAGGUCAUCUUAUGCAGAUAUGCUACAUGACAAAGACAGAAAUGUAAAAUACUACCAAGGUAUCCGGGUUGCCGUGAGCAGGGUGAAGGACAGAGGACAGAAGGCCUUGGUUCUCGACAUUGGCACUGGCACGGGACUCUUGUCAAUGAUGGCGGUCACAGCAGGUGCCGACUUCUGCUAUGCCAUCGAGGUAAGCCAUUCCCUUCAGGUGUGUGUCCUGCAU